Molecule: long non-coding RNA, 554 nt
Filed under: Daucus carota (carrot)
Lineage: Eukaryota; Viridiplantae; Streptophyta; Magnoliopsida; Apiales; Apiaceae
Description: long non-coding RNA (DCAR_LNC001355)
Source: RNAcentral
CCUACAUAUUAAAUAGAUUUUCAUGAUCUAACAUGUUUGUAUCACUUUUUUAAAGUGAAUAUACACAAAGGUUCUGUUACAGACCUUUUUUUUAGAGUGAAUAUACACAAAGGUUCUGCUACAGAACCCUUUUUAAAAGGGAAUAUACACAAAGGUUCUGCUACAGAACCCUUUUUGAAAGCGAAUAUACACAAAGGUUCUGCUACAGAACUCUUGUUAAUACGUGAAGAUUUAAAGGGUUCCUAGGCUAAGGGUUCCAAGAGGAACAUGACCUCUUGUCCCACGAUUAAGUAAUGAGAAAUAAAAUAAAAAUCUCCAAACAUAAUCAACCCACUAUAUUUAUGAUUCACAGGAUUGAAAAUGCAUAAAUCAAUAAAGGUCGCUAAUAUAAACUUGUAAGUUUCGCAUCGGAAAUUUAGCUUUUGUGAUGAUAUUUCAAUCAAAUGAUCUGUAAUGUAUCACUUUUUUCCCAAUGAACACAAAUACUCAAUCCAUCAAAACUAUGCUCAGUCAUUUUGAACAACCAAAUUGUAAACUUGGUGGAUUUGACUUCU